This 498-nucleotide ribosomal RNA is filed under the name uncultured bacterium. Its description in RNAcentral is "partial 16S ribosomal RNA". It matches the Rfam family "Bacterial small subunit ribosomal RNA", at positions 29 to 523 of the family's 1533-position model. The record is from RNAcentral.
AUUGAACGCUGGCGGCAUGCCUUACACAUGCAAGUCGAACGGUAACGCGGGGCAACCUGGCGACGAGUGGCGAACGGGUGAGUAACGCAUCGGAACGUGCCCAGUAGUGGGGGAUAGCCCGGCGAAAGCCGGAUUAAUACCGCAUACGACCUACGGGGGAACGAGGGGGAUCGCAAGACCUCUCGCUAUUGGAGCGGCCGAUGUAGGAUUAGGUAGUUGGUGGGGCAAAGGCCUACCAAGCCUACGAUCUGUAGCUGGUCUGAGAGGACGACCAGCCACACUGGGACUGAGACACGGCCCAGACUCCUACGGGAGGCAGCAGUGGGGAAUUUUGGACAAUGGGCGCAAGCCUGAUCCAGCCAUGCCGCGUGCGGGAAGAAGGCCUUCGGGUUGUAAACCGCUUUUGUCAGGGAAGAAACGCUCUGGACUAAUACUCUGGGGUAAUGACGGUACCUGAAGAAUAAGCACCGGCUAACUACGUGCCAGCAGCCGCAGUAA